This 249-nucleotide long non-coding RNA is filed under the name Setaria viridis. Its description in RNAcentral is "long non-coding RNA (SVIR_LNC007267)". The record is from RNAcentral. Lineage: Eukaryota; Viridiplantae; Streptophyta; Magnoliopsida; Poales; Poaceae.
ACGUCUGGAAUUUUUCAAAGGUUCUUCUAGAUUUUUCCGCACAGAGGUGUUAGUUUUCAAAUUUCCUCUUCCGAAGCUUGUUUGGACUCUUUCUUGCUUCCGCUUGUAUCAAAUUGGGUUCCUAGCAUCAUUCCUAGAUCCAUUGGCUCAUUUAUAUCUAAGUGGACUUGAUUUUGCUAGAAGAGAGGUUGGAGGAUUUUAGUUGAGGUUUUUGAAGAAACUUUGAAUUGGCUCCCAUUCAAACCCCCC